CCCAUGUCCUUGCAGAGUCUGUUUGUGGCCAUGGGUUUUCCCUCCAACUCCGUCUGCCUGGGAGAAGAGGAGGCCGGGGGGGGGGGGGGGGGGGGUGUCUGAAUCAGCAAGGCAGGCUUUACCUGGUAGCGAAAAAGCAUAGGUUCUUAGUGAAAUGAGGGAGUAGAGCUAUAUGGAUCCAGCUUUUGUGUGCCAGAGUCAGGGUGCAGCCCUGCUGCUCUUGCUGCUAGGAAUCGUUCAGUGUGAACCAGCAGAAACACAUCAUGGAAGAGGCCAGGUCAGUGAACACUGUUUCCCAGAUGCUGGCCAUUGUGAAAGUGGCCAUUGAGUUCCUGGCUGUGAAUGGCAGUGACGUGAAGGGCCUGCCAUCUGAGUAUGUCAGGCGGGAGCUGAAAAUGGAUACUGGUGCAAAGCAGUUCCGAGAUGUGUUGGUGGUGCCCAGCCCCCAGCUGAAGCAUGUCCUGUCACUGUGGCAGGUUGUGGCGGCUCGCAGGCAUGUUGGUACAGAUGAACCAGAAAAAAUGGUAAAGAUACUCCUCUGGCUGUAGUGUUAAGCCUGGAUCAUGUCAGCAACUGUCUGGUGGCCCCUACAUCAGAUUCAGC
RNAcentral lists this long non-coding RNA (603 nucleotides) under Apteryx rowi (Okarito brown kiwi). Its description in RNAcentral is "lncRNA (ENSARWG00000000882.1)". The record is from RNAcentral. Lineage: Eukaryota; Metazoa; Chordata; Aves; Apterygiformes; Apterygidae.